This is a long non-coding RNA of Osmia bicornis bicornis, 731 nucleotides long. RefSeq lists it as uncharacterized. The transcript has 2 exons. Lineage: Eukaryota; Metazoa; Arthropoda; Insecta; Hymenoptera; Megachilidae. The record is from RefSeq and is a predicted model, not a curated record.
GCUAUCUAUUUUCUAAGUUAUUCUAAGCUGUACAAAGUCAAAGAACAAUAAGACUAGAGUAGCAGGUGUUCAUUGAUUUAUAUAGAAGAAGCGGUGGAAGAGCAGUAAUUCUUGUCGCGGCAAUGAAACGGUGUAAAAUAAAUCGGCCAAACAAUUUGUCGUAAAUUACUUCCGAUCAUGAUUGUGCCUUCAUUUACGUGUGGAACGAUGUCGCAAUGUUGUUGGAUUUUCACAAUAAAAUGCUUAGAAGUGGAACGAAAUGGAAGGUCAGACGCGCGUUAAAACGAAGAAGGUCAAUAAAUAUGACUUCUCGGUAGUUGCGUUAUGCAUCAUAAUUACACUGGUUUUUCCUUUUCGUUAAUUGUAAAUUCCUGUUACAUACAGCGCUACAAAUACAUAAAUAAGGGUUCUGGCUGAGAAGUCACAUUCUCGCUUUGAGCUUUGCACAUGUGAGAGCCUGCUUCAAGCAUUUUAAUAAAACUAUUCCUAUUAUUCUCUUUGAAAUAUAAAAUUCUGCUUUAUUCGUGGAACACCUGGUUAACUAGAUCACUGGAAGCGAUCUAAAAACCAUAAAACAAAGAAACUCAUUUGAAAUUGUGCAAGACGAAAUAAAAAUUUAAGUACUAAGCUUAAGAACUUAAAGGAUUGAAAAAUAUUCAUGUAUAAAUAGUAGAGAGAAAUUUGUAUGAAUUAUUAGUGACACAAAUAGUAAAUCUGUAUCAUUCGCUUUA